This 385-nucleotide unclassified non-coding RNA is filed under the name uncultured bacterium. Its description in RNAcentral is "contains 16S-23S intergenic spacer region". The record is from RNAcentral.
CGGCACGACAACUACUGAGGAAUAGAUUACCGGUGAAACAAACAUCCAGAGCUGGAUGACGACCGGCAGCGCGACACCGACAUCGCGAUACUUAACGUUCAGUGCCGAAAUCAGCACGCCGACGCCGAAAGACAAUAGCGUAGUUAGCGCGAUCAGAAACGGGAUUGCCGCGAGAUUCCAGGUCAGCGCGAUGUCGUAAUGCCGCACCAGGUGGUAGUAGGCAAAUAACCCUCCCAGGAUUGCGAAAGAGAUGGCGAAGUCAACCAGCCGGGCGGCGAUCGAAGCCGCGGGAACCAGCACGCGCGGAAAAUAUACCUUAGUGAUCAAAUUUGCGUUACCCAUCACGCUGUACGCCGCGGUACUCACGCCACUGGAAAAAAGAUUC